Molecule: transfer RNA, 69 nt
Filed under: Rattus norvegicus (Norway rat)
Lineage: Eukaryota; Metazoa; Chordata; Mammalia; Rodentia; Muridae
Rfam family: tRNA
About the family: Transfer RNA (tRNA) molecules are approximately 80 nucleotides in length. Their secondary structure includes four short double-helical elements and three loops (D, anti-codon, and T loops).
Source: Rfam by way of RNAcentral
GGGGAUUUAGCUUAGUGGUAGAGCGCUUGCCUAGGAAGCGCAAGGCCCUGGGUUCCAUCCCCAGCUCCG